This 914-nucleotide ribosomal RNA is filed under the name uncultured archaeon. RNAcentral's name for it is "bacterial SSU rRNA". It matches the Rfam family "Archaeal small subunit ribosomal RNA", at positions 1 to 922 of the family's 1478-position model. The record is from RNAcentral.
UUCCGGUUGAUCCCGCCGGACCUGACUGCUAUCGGAUUGAUACUAAGCCAUGCGAGUCUUUGCAGUAAUGCAAGGCAUACGGCUCAGUAACACGUAGUCAACUUACCCUAUGGACGAGGAUAAUCUCGGGAAACUGAGCAUAAUACUCGAUAGAUCAUAAUGCCUGGAAUGGUUUAUGGUUAAAAUGAUUCGUCGCCAUAGGAUGGGACUGCGGCCUAUCAGCUUGUUGGUGAGGUAAUGGCCCACCAAGGCGAUUACAGGUACGGGCUCUGAGAGGAGAAGCCCGGAGAUGGGUACUGAGACAAGGACCGAGGCCCUAUGGGGCGCAGCAGGCGAGAAAACUUUGCAAUGUGCGAAAGCACGACAAGGUUAAUCCGAGUGAUUUCUGCUAAAGAAAUCUUUUGCAAGUCAUAAAACCACUAGUGAAUAAGGGGUGGGCAAGUUCUGGUGUCAGCCGCCGCGGUAAAACCAGCACCUCAAGUGGUCAGGAGGAUUAUUGGGCCUAAAGCAUCCGUAGCCGGCUCUGUAAGUUUUCGGUUAAAUCCAUGUGCUCAACGCAUGGGCUGCCGAAAAUACUGCAUAGCUAGGGAGUGGGAGAGGUAGACGGUACUCGGUAGGAAGGGGUAAAAUCCUUUGAUCUAUCGAUGACCACCUGUGGCGAAGGCGGUCUACCAGAACACGUUCGACGGUGAGGGAUGAAAGCUGGGGGAGCAAACCGGAUUAGAUACCCGGGUAGUCCCAGCUGUAAACGAUGCAGACUCGAUGAUGCAUUGGCAUAUAGCCAGUGCAGUGUCGCAGGGAAGCCGUUAAGUCUGCCGCCUGGGAAGUACGUACGCAAGUAUGAAACUUAAAGGAAUUGGCGGGGGAGCACCACAAGGGGUGAAGCCUGCGGUUCAAUUGGAUUCAACGCCGGG